RNAcentral lists this ribosomal RNA (472 nucleotides) under uncultured organism. Its description in RNAcentral is "partial 16S ribosomal RNA". It matches the Rfam family "Bacterial small subunit ribosomal RNA", at positions 334 to 797 of the family's 1533-position model. The record is from RNAcentral.
CACUCCUGCGGGAGGCAGCAGUGGGGAAUUUUGGACAAUGGGCGAAAGCCUGAUCCAGCAAUGCCGCGUGAGUGAAGAAGGCCUUCGGGUUGUAAAGCUCUUUUGUCAGGGAAGAAACGGUGAAAGCUAAUAUCUUUUGCUAAUGACGGUACCUGAAGAAUAAGCACCGGCUAACUACGUGCCAGCAGCCGCGGUAAUACGUAGGGUGCAAGCGUUAAUCGGAAUUACUGGGCGUAAAGCGUGCGCAGGCGGUUUUGUAAGUCUGAUGUGAAAUCCCCGGGCUCAACCUGGGAAUUGCAUUGGAGACUGCAAGGCUAGAAUCUGGCAGAGGGGGGUAGAAUUCCACGUGUAGCAGUGAAAUGCGUAGAUAUGUGGAGGAACACCGAUGGCGAAGGCAGCCCCCUGGGUCAAGAUUGACGCUCAUGCACGAAAGCGUGGGGAGCAAACAGGAUUAGAAACCCCGGUAGUCCCA